GGAGUUGGAAGAAAUUAGAUUAAAGGAGAGGAAAAAAAUUAAAGGGGGAGCUGGCAUAGGACAGGAGGUAGAGACCGAGGGAGAGAUGCGCCAAGCGGUGUCUCCCGGUUCCAACUCCCCCCACACCCGCCUCGACCCUAGAAGAUCCCUCGCGCAAACCCACUGGGAUUUUGCUCUUUCCCCUACCCCGGCCCAGUGACCGACGCCGGGGUAGCUGCUGCUUCUUGAAAAAUCCCCGCAACUCCCACCCCGACACCCGUCACUACGACCCAGGGGGAGAACUUUUUGCUCGGACUCCUCGGAUCCUAAACCCAGCGAAACGGGACAUUGAGAAGCUUGUCCUAAAACCCGGAAGGCCCUUGCGGAGCAUGGAGAUCGGAUAAGGCGGGGUGCUCCCCCGGUUUUCCGAUGUGUUGCAAAUCUAAGAGCUUCUUUCUCGCUUUUUUUUUCCCUGUAACUACCCCCCCCCCCUUUUGCUUCAGGGUUGCAAAAGCAAAGAGCAAUUAAAAAAAAAAAACCGCGCACACA
This is a long non-coding RNA of Homo sapiens (human), 528 nucleotides long. NCBI's taxonomy places the organism in Eukaryota, Metazoa, Chordata, Mammalia, Primates, Hominidae. The record is from Ensembl.